This 301-nucleotide ribosomal RNA is filed under the name uncultured bacterium. Its description in RNAcentral is "partial 16S ribosomal RNA". It matches the Rfam family "Bacterial small subunit ribosomal RNA", at positions 509 to 807 of the family's 1533-position model. The record is from RNAcentral.
CAGCCGCCGCGGUAAUACGGAGGGUGCAAGCGUCAAUCGGAAUUACUGGGCGUAAAGCGCACGCAGGCGGUUUGUUAAGUCAGAUGUGAAAUCCCCGAGCUUAACUUGGGAACUGCAUUUGAAACUGGCAAGCUAGAGUCUUGUAGAGGGGGGUAGAAUUCCAGGUGUAGCGGUGAAAUGCGUAGAGAUCUGGAGGAAUACCGGUGGCGAAGGCGGCCCCCUGGACAAAGACUGACGCUCAGGUGCGAAAGCGUGGGGAGCAAACAGGAUUAGAUACCCCUGUAGUCCCUGUCUCUUAUAC